RNAcentral lists this long non-coding RNA (2346 nucleotides) under Hordeum vulgare. RNAcentral describes it as "long non-coding RNA (HVUL_LNC016009)". The record is from RNAcentral. Lineage: Eukaryota; Viridiplantae; Streptophyta; Magnoliopsida; Poales; Poaceae.
CGUAAUCUUAACGUAAGUAGGUGCCGAGAUACACGAGGGGUUGGAGCAGGACUAUAGGAGGAGAUGAGGACAUGUUUUGUUUUAGAUCCACCUGAUUAAUCCCAAGUUUUUGCAAGGUCUGCUUCUUAUGCAGAGCUUUCUUUUGAUGAGCAGCCUAGACAAUUAAUUACAGUUAGUCCUUUUAGUUAGAUAUAGUAUUAGGUCAAUUAUUUACUUCUGUGUCGAUGAACAAAUGAGUCUGAUUUAAUUUUUCUUUAGACUAUUAUUGUUUUCGGUGUUGGUUUGAAGUUAAAAGUGAGAAAAAGAUUAGGUGACACGAAUUUGGUGUGAAUGGAUAUUGGUUCUGAGAGGCCAUUUCUUAUGCAUCAGGUCAUCAAGGUGGAUGUUGUUUGUUUAGAUAUAUUUGCCUCCAGGUUAUUCAAAAUGGUUCAUGUCAUACUGGAUGCUAUUUUAAACAUAUUUGUUUUCUCUUUGGCCAAUAAUGAAAUUAUCUUUGUGCAUAUAGAAUGCUUAUUGAUACCAUAAUUCUAAACAAUGGUUGCCAUUGCCAAAACUGCUAAAAGAUAUAACUUUAUACAAUUUAACAUAGGUGAGCCUUGCAUCCACUACUUAGAUGAGUUUAGUCACCACAUUGUGUGGGCAACACAGUUAAGCUCUACAACCAUAAUGUUUGUAGACUGCAAAAGAUCAUCCGCAACACCACCAUGCGUGAUCACUACUACGUGUGCCACAUGACAGAAACAUUUGAAAUAGAUGGCAAAAGAAUGGUAAUCCUUUACAAUUACUCUGUCCAAUUUCAUACAAUAGCAUGGUAUAAAAUGAUACAGUAACUAACCGUAACUAUUUUUUUCAGUACAAUAGCGUUCCCUUUUCUACGGGUUCCCUUUUCCCACACAUGGAUCCUGGCCGUGGUGAACUGCCAAUCACUACUGGAGAUGGAACUACCGCUGUCACAUCCCGCUUUAUCAAGGGUGUUGACAAAAGGGCCACCAUCACUACAGGCUGGAGCAACUUCUUCCGUCAGGCACACAUGAAAUAGGGCAAGCAUAUACUUUCGCCUUCAAAUGGACUUCCAAGGACUGCACCUGAUCGUCUACUCAAUAUAAGAAAGUUGCAUAAGCCCCUUGUUAUACAACUUAAUGUUAGUAUAAAUGCCUACCAAGAAUUCUGCAUUUCUCAUCCGUUUAGAUCUUACGUAAUUACCGAAGACCAUCCUGUGCAUUUAGCUAUCGGUUAUUUGCUGCUUAGACUGUUGUGUGGUAUGCUUUUGAAACGGCCAUGAUAAAAGAAGUAUAUGAUUUCCUCUUCAAGUGCACGUCAAAAAGCCUCUGCAUGAUUGUCUAUCCAAUCUAAACAGAUCACAAGAAUCCUUUCCUACAUGAUUUAGUGCAUCAUUUUCGAUCUUAUGUAAAAGAAACCAUGACAAUCCUGCUUGCUGCAUAUAGUAUCAUAAGCUGUGCUUUUCGAACAACAAUAUGUUAAUGCACACUCUUCUAAUAAUUGUAUUACACUCAGCCUUUGCGCCAUUGGCGCAACGAGUCCUCUAGUUGUUGAUAAAACUACAAGCACUAGAACAUAGUUCUAUAUAAUAGCAUGUGAGAUGAUUAUAACUUUUACAGAAACUAUAUUGUUAACUAUGAUAUCAUGAUAAUAUUUUGAUCGAAUAUUUUUAAUACGCAUAUGAGAUUUUAACAACUUGAUCUGGUUCCACUUUUUUGACAAAUUUGUGCAAAAUGUUUUCAGGUACUCAACCUAUUGAUGCACAUGGACAUGAUGACUCUCUAGCGUUUAUGGACAAACCAACCUGUAAUCAUGGACCUUAUUGUCUUGUAGACCAUUUGGUGUUUCGAGUGUUUUGGAGCUUGCACUUUGUGCAUGUAGAUACAAACUUGUGUGUUCUGGACCAUCUGAAGUCUCUCAUAGUAACCAAUAGUCCUUAUCUUUUUGUGACUUGUGUGUUCUAGAUGAUUGUUAAGAUGGUCAAAACUAUGCUUCCUCUUGGUUAAUUUGUUUGUUAACUUGCGUUCAAUGUAUGUGCAUGUUUAUAAACAUAUUUUCAUUAUGGUGUAAUAUGUGUUUGUCUUGAACCUUCUUGUGGGUGUGAGGAUAAUAGUUGAAUAUUUUUAGAGCUGGUAGUAUAUAUUGUUUUGACUGCACAUCAUUUUACCAACAAUUUAACUAUCGACAAAGUAAAUAUAUGUCCGCAUAGGUAUGGUGUACCUUGAUAGACUAUAUGUUGGCGUAGAUAUGGUGUACCUGUGCAGUAAUAUGUUUUGUAACCUGUGCAAAUAUUAGAAAAGAAAAAAAUAAUAAUACCUGAUAUUCAUACUAGUGGCGCACCACUCA